This 499-nucleotide ribosomal RNA is filed under the name uncultured bacterium. RNAcentral describes it as "partial 16S ribosomal RNA". It matches the Rfam family "Bacterial small subunit ribosomal RNA", at positions 28 to 507 of the family's 1533-position model. The record is from RNAcentral.
GACGAACGCUGGCGGCGUGCCUAAUACAUGCAAGUCGAGCGAAGUUUUUCUUUUUCUUUCACUAUAAAAACUUAGCGUCGCACGUGUGUGUAACACGUAAAGAACCUUCCUCAUAGUCUGGUACAACUAUUGGAAACGAUAUCUAAUACCUGAUUACAGUAUUUCUCUCUUUUGUUAUUUUUAAUUGUUUUUUAUUCUAACUCUAUGAUAUUUCUUUGCGGUGCAUUAGCUAGUUGGUGGGGUAAAGGCCCACCAAGGCGACGAUGCAUAGCCGACCUGAGAGGGUGAUAGGCGACACUGGGACUGAGAAACGGACCAGACUACUACGGGAGGCAGCAGUAGGGAAUAUUCCGCAAUGGGCGAAAGCAUGACGGAGCAACGCCGAGUGAGUGAAGAAGGAGUUCGGUUCGUAAAGCACUGUUGUUAGGGAAGAAAGGAAAUGCAGUAAAAAUAAAAGUAAGAGACGGUAACUAAACAGAAAGCAACGGCUAACUACGUG